Molecule: ribosomal RNA, 468 nt
Filed under: uncultured bacterium
Lineage: Bacteria
Description: partial 16S ribosomal RNA
Rfam family: Bacterial small subunit ribosomal RNA
Source: RNAcentral
GACGAACGCUGGCGGCGUGCUUAACACAUGCAAGUCGAACGGCAAGGCCCUGCUUUUGUGGGGUGCUCGAGUGGCGAACGGGUGAGUAACACGUGAGUAACCUGCCCUUGACUUUGGGAUAACUUCAGGAAACUGGGGCUAAUACCGGAUAGGAGCUCCUGCUGCAUGGUGGGGGUUGGAAAGUUUCGGCGGUUGGGGAUGGACUCGCGGCUUAUCAGCUUGUUGGUGGGGUAGUGGCUUACCAAGGCUUUGACGGGUAGCCGGCCUGAGAGGGUGACCGGCCACAUUGGGACUGAGAGACGGCCCAGACUCCUACGGGAGGCAGCAGUGGGGAAUAUUGCACAAUGGGCGGAAGCCUGAGGCAGCAACGCCGCGUGCGGGAUGACGGCCUUCGGGUUGUAAACCGCUUUCGCCUGUGACGAAGCGUGAGUGACGGUAAUGGGUAAAGAAGCACCGGCUAACUACGUG